GUAGGGUGGUGUUGUUACACCUACACUCCCUGCUUUUACAUUCACAUUCAAUCAGCCCAACUAUCGUCAGCCUAGUCACUGAUAACCUCCACUUAGAUGGAGAUAAAAGGACCAGACGUUGUGUGCGUGCAUUACGGUGUCUGUAACCACACCCCUUCUCCUGUUGAGGUGCUUUCCUGAUUUGCCGGCCCUGUAUUCCUAGCCUUCCCUCUGACGCUCGCCUUCGGUAUGUCCUUGUCCCUGCAUGUUCAGUGAGGAACCGUACUUCGCCGCUGACCUCGUCGUUCCUGUGAUAACCGUCUGAUAACUGUCUGAUAACUGCCUGAUCACAAAGGUGCUGCUGUUUUGUUUAAGCCUGACAAUGCGUGUGUGAUUCAGCAUGCUCGUGACUCUGCCAAACUGUUGUUGUGCAUGCUGGUCUGACAUAUAUCUGAGCUGGGUUUUCGUUUUCUUUGUUAUGUUCUUUUUGUCUGAGCAUUGUACCAUCUUGUCCACUCCAAUGGAGUAAUGCUUCUGUCUAGUGUGUGUUCUGUCUGCAUGUGACUGGGCAUAAGGCUGGUGGCGCUGUAGCUGUCCUGGUGCAUGCUUGUUGUUUGUUCUGGUCUGUAGUUAGCCUCGAUACAUGAUUGCUAUUACUGUCUGAGUGUUUCAUGCUUAGGAUGGACUGUUGAUAUCCCCUGGUGCAAUAAUUGUUUUCAUUUUAUUUGUUAAGCAGUUGCUAGGUGCUUCCAGAGGGAGGCUAGGCACCUGGUGGUGGGCCCCUGUCACUGCAUGCGGGUGUAUCAAGCUGGUUAGUGUGCUGUGGGUGUGCCGUGAUUGUGCUGUGUGUGCAGUGUGCUGUGGGUUGCUUGCCGUGUCAUAGUUCACCU
This is a long non-coding RNA of Clupea harengus (Atlantic herring), 869 nucleotides long. RefSeq lists it as uncharacterized. The transcript has 3 exons. NCBI's taxonomy places the organism in Eukaryota, Metazoa, Chordata, Actinopteri, Clupeiformes, Clupeidae. The record is from RefSeq and is a predicted model, not a curated record.